GCAGCACAGGGAGCCCGAUGAGGGAACUGAUCCCAGGACCCCGGAAUCAUGACCUGAGCUGAAGGUGGAUGCUUAACUGACUGAGCCAGCCAGGUGCCCUGGAUACGCAAUUUUAAAUUGAAAAUAUCUUUAAACUACCUUAUAGUAAAUCGAUCUGUAAGUCUCAACUUAACCUCUGACGUCUUGGCCGGCUGAUUCCUGCUUUACUGAGACCUCUCCACGGUCUGGGUGCCCUGAGCAGUUUCCUUGCCCACAUUCAGAAGUUGCCAUGACAAUGAAACGAGCCAUUCUUAGGAAAAUGGCCUUGAAAACAAAAGGUUUUAUGCUUCCUUGAAGGCAAGAACAACUGGUAACUAUUUUUAUUUAUUAAGUUGUGUCUUUCCCAAAAGAUCUGUGCUAAAAUAGAACUGAUCCAACCUGCAGAAGAAAGGAAAGGAGGGACAUUUGCUCAGUCCACGGCCAGCUAGGCGUGGGAUGUACUGCCAAGUGCCUCAGCCUCAGGGAAGCACUGGGGGGUCCCUGGCGGGUCCUUCCUCGCCCAGCAGGUCCACCCCAAAGACUUCACAUGUCUUGUCACCUCGCAGCUCUGUUUGCACAUCUGUAUGCUGGUCUUAUGGGCUCUACUUCAGUGAGGAUUAAGUGACAUAUAAAUGUGAAGCCUCAGUGAAUAACUUUCACAAAUUCUAAUGUUUGUCUUUCUCUCUUCCUUAUGCCUGGACUCCGAGCUGAGACUCCCGGGGCUGACCCUUUGCAUUCUGUCUUGGUUACAGUCUUCUCACGCCGCUCUGUGGACCCCGGCUCGUCCAGCACUUUCACAUCCUUGCUCCAGUCCCUGAUGGGUAGGGAACCAACUGCUCAAGAUUAGUUGGAGUUUUGCAAAGUGUCUAUGGGAGAACUGGCUCUGCUUCCUUCUCCAGCCGUUUCAAGGCCCUGGCGAUCAUUCCAACCAUCCCUCUUCAUCUGGUCUCGUCCAUCCCACCAUUGCCUGCUCCUCGGUCUUGACUUUGUCAGAUGCUGCAGCCAACAGCUAGCAGCAGAGUCCCUGCCGUGUGCUGCUGGGGGUGCCUCCAGGGAAGAAACUGUAGACGAGUCGGAAAGAAAUAGCUUGGAGAGCAGAGGUGCCUCCGCAGAAUGCUGACUUGAUGUUCUGUUGAUGAGCAGUUUAAGGGGUCAAGAGAAUAAACAGGUGUGGGGGAGGCA
Molecule: long non-coding RNA, 1200 nt
Filed under: Vulpes vulpes (red fox)
Lineage: Eukaryota; Metazoa; Chordata; Mammalia; Carnivora; Canidae
Description: lncRNA (ENSVVUG00000019397.1)
Source: RNAcentral